UUUUCUAUUCUUUGCUUCUGUAGAAAAGUCAUUAUUUUAGGAAAAACAAUUUUGUAAAUAAAACAACAGAGAUCCACGGAAGUUAUAUGAAAUUGUAAUAUCUCAAAUUUAGUUCUCAUAUCCCAAUCGUGUGAUACGCUAGGGCUCCAAUCAAUGGGCAAGAACAAGAGGGAAAUGGGAACCCACAUACCAUUCGUCAAGCCGUGCUAUAGCGGCAUCCCACAUACAAAAUAGAGAAAGAUUGGCCCUGAGUUAGCAUCUGUUGCCAAUCUUCCUCCUUUUGCUUGAGGAAGAUUGUCACUGAGCUAACAUCUGUGCCAACCUUCCUCACCAGAAAAAACAAAAGAUGGAGGAGAUGGGUUACAUCGUUUUUAAGAAAAAGGCAGCUUAUCCAUGGCUGAACUUUUAAGACCACCUUUGACAUUAUUUGAGUGCUUCGUAUUAAGCAACAGAACUUAAGCAAUUUUAUUUUAGUAUCAUGAUCAUAAAAAUCUACAGACUUUUUUUUUUUUUUUAACAAAGUGGCUCAAAGAGACGUUGGGGAAGGAAGCAAGAUAUUCACGACUGAGAAGUGUUCUCAGGGGACCUAGGUCAUUUGGUCCCCAGGACACAGCGCUGGGAGAUGCCUGCAAGGGGAAAGCUCUAGAGGAAUUUGCAGCUGCCGCUCCCUCCCCUCCUGAGGGAUGCAGGGCAGACUGCAGGACUGGAGCCAGUGUCAGCGACCAAACCUGCCUGACAGCCACUCCUGAGACGGCCCAGCCCAGCUCCUGCCGUCACGGCUGGCUGGUCCACGGGGGCUGACGGCCACGGUCAGGACCAGGGCGGACACAGGGUCAGAGCUGCUGACACACGGCCGCUCACGCUUCUGGGGCUCCAGAAAUGAAAUACAUCUUUGGAAAGACAUAUGACAAAAGGUUUUCCCUUCAACUGCUCAGCAUGUGGUACCGAAUUUUGGAGGGUUAAAACAAAAAACAACCAUUGCUUAUCCUCUCAGGCCUUAUCAAGGGUUUUAUCACAUUUUUAUAAAACAUAGCCUCAGCCCCAAAGCUUUGUUUGCAUGAGGGUGUGUCCAGUCCAUGGGUGGAAAGUUUCCAUAAUUCUUUCCAGUCUGUUCCAUGUUCCUCCCUCCUUUGUUCGUUAGUUCAGGGUCUCUGUCCAUUGUGAUCCUAAUGUGCUCUAAUGCCAAGGAUCGACUUUAUUUGAGAUUUUAAACCUUCAAGGAUCAAAAUGGUGGGGGAAAAAAAUCAGAAUUCUUUUGGGGUAGAACCAAAUAUUUGCCAAAUGUGCUUAUGAAAUGCAAAUGAGAUUCUUUCCUCACUCAGUCAAUCAAUCAGUUAUAUUUGUUAAAUGGUUAUUCAGCCAAUACUAUUUCAAAGACACCAUAUUCCUCUUUUUUUAAUCCUUCGAUUCAGCAAGUUAACCACAAUGACCAAUUUUGUGGCUAAAAUGGUAACAUUGUUUGUGUACUUAAGUCUCUUUCCCACUCGUGGCGUCUCCCGCCUCCUGGGUCCGAGGCAGGUGUCGACAGCUGUUAUUCUGUGACGGGGUUUUUAGACACAUCAGCACUGUUGGGUGAACAAAUGUCUUCAUCAGGAAGUCACGAAUUGGCUUGAGAUAAGGAAACGUCGAUUUGAAAACCAUUUUCCCCCGGUCUCAUUUGCACUGUCUCUUCCUUUAGCUGCUUUCUGUUGGGAAUUCUGUCCUUUAUGUCACUGCAAAGCUUGUCCACCUGGCACCCAUCACACCUACACACUCCUUUCUUGCACAGAGCAACCAUCUUACCAUUUUCUAAAAGAAGCUCAUAGAUUCAUGUAGUAAGAGACUAAAGUCAGCAUCUGCUCUCCAUUCGACAACAGACUUCAGAACACAAAGGCCACGCGUGCCGCCUGCAGGGAGCAGAUCAGGAGGCCCCGCUCUUCUGGGACAGGCAAUUCUGAAACCAUGGGGUCACUCCCCAGCUCCAAGAUGAGCAGCGCUCCAGCAGCCUGGAGAGCAAAUUCCGCGGCUUUCUUUUCAGCACAAUGCAAAAGCGUAUCACACUGCUGGCAGCCUGCGGCCCACUUUGUAACUUAAAAGCAAAUUCUAAUUCUUUGAAGACUAAACAUUAAAAAAACCCCUCAAACCUAAACAAAUUUUAGUCUCUCUGGAAAAGCAAUUGAUAAAUACGCUCAAACUGUGAAUAUAUUUUCAUUCUAUUAAGCAUUUAUUCGUUAAAAAAUAAUAUACAUUCUGGAAACAGCUCUCCUCUGAUGAUCUCCCCGGGGCCAGAACACACACAUAUAUUGUGAGGAAUCAAGGCCUUGUAGGUGAGGGACAUCAUUUUGUCAGAUGGAUGCUUCAGGAAAGAAGAUCAUGCCAGGAGAGGCAUCUAUUUCUUUGUUAAUUGCAUCCUCCACACUAUAGUAACCUACUGCGAAUUUUAUUUGUGAUGUGCCGGCUUGCCUCGGAUGAGCUGCGUUUCCCGGAAUUCCUGUUCCCGCGUAUUUCUGGUUAAGGUGGGCUGUCAGAGACAUUCUUGUGGGAGACGUGGAGGGUGGAAGUGAAGCAGCAGCCAUAUUCUAGCCCGCCCGUGCCGUUGCCUGUCUGCUGGCUCACCCCAGUGAUGCGACACAGUGGCUGGACUUGCAGCUGCUCCAUCUUCCCCUGGGUGCUCCUUCUGCCUCUCUGAUCCCUGCCCCUGGUGAACAGAAAGACUUAAUUGCUCCCGACAUGGUGCUAAGACAUUUGCAUUCCGGAGGGUGGGAAAUAAAUCCCAUAAAACAUCAGGGGCCUGCAACCUCAGUGAAAUGUCUAGGGGUCCAGUCUGAGGCAGGUUGAGUAAAUGGGUCCUUUCUGAGCCGUUUAAUGAAUAACCCCAAAAGCUACCAAUUAUGAGUGGGGCCCAGAACAAGAGAAAGCUCUAUGAGAAACCCAAGUUGCUAUGCAAGCAGCUCUGCUGCUUGGACCAUAUGACCCAAUGGAUCCGAUGGUGCUUGAGGGGCAGGCGCAGGCAGGGUGCUGUUUGGAGCGUUUUCAGGCCCUUAAAUGAGUUUCACAAUGAGGAUCCUUAGGAUUUUGGAAUAAAGCCCUACCAUCUUCUUUUAAGAAAUAGCUUUUGUUUUGCUACUGGGUUUUAGUGAAAAUUGAAUGCGUGGUCAUGGGUCACCAAGUUACCCUGUGACCCAAGCUACCUGUUACUAGGUGUUGUCUGAUCCACUGAGCCAUAAAGUUGAGCACGCACAGAAGUACUUCGUUCGCAAGUGGGAGUGGUAUGCCUGAACUUGGCUUCGGGCAGAACCUGAAGACACAAGUAUGUUGCAUGAGUAAGUGACCCGCACAUCCACAGCCCCUGCUUCUGAUCCUUUGUCUUCUCUCUCUUAACCUGCGCCCGUGGCCUCUUGAGGAGCUGUCUGUGCCCGGGUGAUGGAAGAAGAAAAAAGUCAGGCCUCGUCUGCAGGUGGUUCUGCACAAUAGGCUGAUGUCACUCAGAAGCAGACAGCUAAAACCAAAAUGGACCGCUGAAAUACCACAGCCCACUCUGGGCUGGCCCUGAAGGACAGUGCUGAGGGAAACGCUGCCAGCGCACAGAACUUUGAGCAGUGCACCUGGCUGUCCAGUUUGCUUAAGAGAGAUGUCCAGAAGUACAGGUCUAUACUAAUUCACCGACUGUGGCUAAUAUUUGCCUGGAAGGUGAGAGAUUUGGAAGAAACAUGAUGAAAAAUUGAUGGCAAAGUUCUGGAGGAGAAGUAGGUUGACAGAUCUCUCCAAACAGGCAGGACGUGUGAAGAUAUUUAUGUUCUCUGAGAAUGCUCACCAAAGAAACUCAAUAGAAGAGUAUUUUAAUAAUCAGCUGCAUAGGAUGAGCCAUUUUGUGGGCAUCAGUCAACCUUUUUCCCCAGAAACCCUGCCAUUGGCAAAUUGGCCCAUGAAUAAAGUGGCCACGGUGACAGAGACGGACGUUAUGCAUGGGCUCAGCAACACAGGCUUCUACUUACCAAAGCCCAGCUGGCUAUGGCUGCUGUGGAGUGCCCAACCUGCUAACAGCAGAGGUCAACACUGAGCCCCUGACAUGGCGCCAUUCCAGCUGGCUGCCUAUUGGCAGUUGAUUCUAUGGGAUCAGCUCUGUUCCCUUAGGGAAGGGGCAGCGCUUUGUUUUUACUGGAAGAGACACUACUCUGGAUACAGAUUUGCCUUCCCUGCACACUGUGCUUCUGCCAAAACCACCACCAAAACCAUGUACAAAAUGACUUAUUCACUAUCUUGGUGUGUCACACAGCACCACUGCUGACCAAGGAACUUAUUUCACAGCAGAUGAGGGACAGCAACUGGCUCAUGGAGUUCACUGGUCUUACCAUGUUCCCCAUCACCCUGAAGCAGCUGGCUUGAGAGAAUGCUGGAAUGGCCUUUUGAAGGCUCGGUUGUGGUCAGUUGUCCAGGAUAAAAAGUGUGCUCUAAAUCAUCAUUCAAUGUACAUUUCCGCUUCUCCCAUAGCCAGGAUUUGUGAGUCUGGGAACAAAGGGUGGUUAUGGGAAAAGCUCCUCUCACUAUUAUUCCUAGUGAUGUACUAAACAUUUGCUGCCCAUCCCUAUGGUAUUAGGUUCUACUGGUCUAGAGGUCUUCGUUCCAAACAGAGGAAUGCUUCCACCAGGGAACCCAGCAAUGAUUCUAUUGAACUGGAGGGUCCCUGGGCACUUUGACUCAUGCCGCUGAAUCAACAGGCAAAGAAGUGAGUGAUUGAACCUGGACUGCUUCUACACAAAGAGCCUGUCCUUGGACUUCAAGCUCCAGCUUCAGAUGUGAAGACAACAACUUUACAGACAUGACUUAACCACACCCCACAAUUAUGUAAGGUCAAAUUCCUAUAAGUAUAUGAUAUGUAUGUAUAUAUAUACACAUUCCAGUGUUUCCACUUCUGUCAUUGAACUCUGACUAAGACAGUAUUCUGGUUGAAUGUUACAUUGAAAAGUUUACAUUCUCAAAAAAACCUUCAGUUUUAUUGAGAUAUAAUUGAUGUACAAUAAAUUGCAUGUAUUUA
Molecule: non-coding RNA, 5014 nt
Organism: Equus caballus (horse)
Lineage: Eukaryota; Metazoa; Chordata; Mammalia; Perissodactyla; Equidae
Source: RefSeq, a predicted model, not a curated record